RNAcentral lists this ribosomal RNA (497 nucleotides) under uncultured bacterium. RNAcentral's name for it is "partial 16S ribosomal RNA". It matches the Rfam family "Bacterial small subunit ribosomal RNA", at positions 28 to 507 of the family's 1533-position model. The record is from RNAcentral.
GAUGAACGCUGGCGGCGUGCCUAAUACAUGCAAGUCGAGCGAACGGACGAGAAGCUUGCUUCUCUAAUGUUAGCGGCGGACGGGUGAGUAACACGUGGAUAACCUACCUAUAAGACUGGGAUAACUUCGGGAAACCGUAGCUAAUACCGGAUAAUAUUUUGAACCGCAUGGUUCAAAAGUGAAAGACGGUCUUGCUGUCACUUAUAGGUGGAUCCGCGCUGCAUUAGCUAGUUGGUAAGGUAACGGCUUACCAAGGCAACGAUGCAUAGCCGACCUGAGAGGGUGAUCGGCCACACUGGAACUGAGACACGGUCCAGACUCCUACGGGAGGCAGCAGUAGGGAAUCUUCCGCAAAGGGCGAAAGCCUGACGGAGCAACGCCGCGUGAGUGAUGAAGGUCUUCGGAUCGUAAAACUCUGUUAUUAGGGAAGAACAUAUGUGUAAGUAACUGUGCACAUCUUGACGGUACCUAAUCAGAAAGCCACGGCUAACUACGUG